RNAcentral lists this ribosomal RNA (305 nucleotides) under uncultured bacterium. Its description in RNAcentral is "bacterial SSU rRNA". It matches the Rfam family "Bacterial small subunit ribosomal RNA", at positions 333 to 655 of the family's 1533-position model. The record is from RNAcentral.
UUUUCCCUACGGGGGGCAGCAGUGGGGGAUAUUGCACAAUGGGGGGAAUCCUGAUGCAGCGACGCCGCGUGGGUGAGGAAGUACCCCGGUAUGUAAAGCCCUUUCGGCAGGGAAGAAAAUGACGGUACCUGGCGAAGAAGCCCCGGCUAACUACGUGCCAGCAGCCGCGGUAAUACGUAGGGGGCAAGCGUUAUCCGGAUUCACUGGGUGUAAAGGGAGCGCAGGCGGUACGGCGAGUCUGAUGUGAAAACCCGGGGCCCAACCCCGGGACCGCACCGGAUACUGCCGGACUCGAGUGCCGGAGG